AUAAAAAAAAAUACAGUGACCGUUUGGUCACUGAAAUUUUUUCAGUAACCAAAUGGUUACUGAAAAAGUGACCAAAACGGUCACUUUUUUUAAAAAGUGACCGUUUUGGUCACUAUAAAUAACGAGCCACGAGCCGGGUCGUGGCUUGUUAAG
Molecule: small RNA, 153 nt
Filed under: Olea europaea subsp. europaea
Lineage: Eukaryota; Viridiplantae; Streptophyta; Magnoliopsida; Lamiales; Oleaceae
Source: RNAcentral